RNAcentral lists this non-coding RNA (45 nucleotides) under Schistosoma curassoni. Lineage: Eukaryota; Metazoa; Platyhelminthes; Trematoda; Strigeidida; Schistosomatidae. The record is from RNAcentral.
AUCCAACUGACGGGUCUGAAAUAGCACGAAACACGUGUCCUGGAU